Molecule: ribosomal RNA, 545 nt
Filed under: Microbacterium sp.
Lineage: Bacteria; Bacillati; Actinomycetota; Actinomycetes; Micrococcales; Microbacteriaceae
Description: bacterial SSU rRNA
Rfam family: Bacterial small subunit ribosomal RNA
Source: RNAcentral
AGUGGCGAACGGGUGAGUAACACGUGAGCAACCUGCCCUGGACUCUGGGAUAAGCGCUGGAAACGGCGUCUAAUACUGGAUAUGAGACGUGAUCGCAUGGUCGUGUUUGGAAAGAUUUUUCGGUCUGGGAUGGGCUCGCGGCCUAUCAGCUUGUUGGUGAGGUAAUGGCUCACCAAGGCGUCGACGGGUAGCCGGCCUGAGAGGGUGACCGGCCACACUGGGACUGAGACACGGCCCAGACUCCUACGGGAGGCAGCAGUGGGGAAUAUUGCACAAUGGGCGGAAGCCUGAUGCAGCAACGCCGCGUGAGGGAUGACGGCCUUCGGGUUGUAAACCUCUUUUAGCAGGGAAGAAGCGAAAGUGACGGUACCUGCAGAAAAAGCGCCGGCUAACUACGUGCCAGCAGCCGCGGUAAUACGUAGGGCGCAAGCGUUAUCCGGAAUUAUUGGGCGUAAAGAGCUCGUAGGCGGUUUGUCGCGUCUGCUGUGAAAUCCCGAGGCUCAACCUCGGGCCUGCAGUGGGUACGGGCAGACUAGAGUGCGGUA